CCUAAAGCAAAACUACGAUGUUCAAAGUAUUUCCUAAACUAUUGUGAGAUUAUUGUAAAGUACAUGGGGGAAUUUUAACUACUUGGGGUAAUCUAGCAUUAAUUGUUAUAGACUUAAAAAUAUGAGAAAUGGGCCCAACUGACUAUUUUGUAAAAACUGGCCCAGUCGCAACUCUAAAUUGAUUGGGCAUGUCGUGGUUGUGUUUUCAGAAAUGAUAAAUCGCUAAUCAUACAUUGUCUAAGUCCAAAUUUGAUUUGCAUAAGAGUAAUAAAAUCUCAUCAGAAAAUUAUUGUAUUCAAGUUUAAAUUAACUAUACUAACAGGAUUUCUAAUACCCUAAAUCAAAAUUAGAAUUACAUUAAUUUCAGAAGAAAAAAAACAAGUUCAUAAUUUGGGCCAAGUUAUUGGGCUUAAUACUCACGCCCAGCUGCCUGAAAUCCAGAAUUUCAUUCUCUAUAAGGGAACGGAAACUGGUCAUGUUGGAGUGCCUGGCCCAGUUCAUUUUAGUCAGCUAAAACAGUUUAAAAAUUUUAAGAAAACAGAAUGUCUAGCAAACUCACAUCAUUAUCAAAUUAAAACAGCCUUAUACUAAAUAAAACUAAUCAGAACAUUAAAAAUUCCAGUUUUUUGGGAAAAUUUGAAAUACGUUAAUAAGCUAUUCUAUCAAUUAAAACUAUCAUUUACAAACUUGAAUCAAAAUAAGAUUCCAAAGUAACUCUUAUACUUUUUUCUUUCAGCACUGGCAAUGAACAACAAUAGAACUACACAUUCAAGCUCUUCCAUUCAUGCGUUUGUGAAUGAGACACUUCACAGAGAUGGAUCUGACUAACUGGUGGUCAGAUUCAUCCCUUAGCCAUUCUUUAACCUUCCUUCAAGUGUGAAUCAACAUUGAUACCAAAAAAAAAAGGAAAACACAGUAAGAAUUCAGUCCACUUAAGCUGAACCAGGACAUAUGUGUUUUUUGUCACAACAAAUAAGAUAAAAGCUUGAAGUUCAUAAAGAAAAAUGAAAGCAUCACAGAUACUCUUAGAACUACUUCAGAAAUUUGCAAAGAAUAAGCAGGAAUUCAAAUGCUUAACCACAUUUACAAGCAUAAACCAAUCAAAUGUUAAUAAUGGAAAUCUACUAACGAAUGAACUGAUUCUUCAACAUAAUAACUGUUAUUUUCUCAUAAAGUUGUCAUACACCUAAAAACUAUCAGAGAGCUGAUAGUAGAUUACCUCAAGAUAGCUUAACGAGAAGGAUUUAUGAUCAAAUAAAAGCCAGCAACACUCAAAAUAGCAGCAGCAAAUAGAACAGCAACAAAAAUCCCAGAAUAUUUGACUAAAACCAACUUUAAAUAGCAGGGAUUAUGAACUAGGGAAACAAGGAGCUAUUUCUAUUUUCAAAUCCACUUGGAAACCCAGAAAAAGGAAGAAAAACCAGUGUGAAAAUCAAUUUCCAGAAUUCCUUGUGUAUCAAAGUUGCCUUUUAGAUUGCCUAAUGCUGAUGAUAGUCUGUGUGUGAACGAGUGAGGGUCUAUUCCUUUUAUAAGAUGCACAAAGAUAGCAUAAAAAAG
This 1557-nucleotide long non-coding RNA is filed under the name Nicotiana tabacum (common tobacco). RNAcentral describes it as "long non-coding RNA (NTAB_LNC013338)". Lineage: Eukaryota; Viridiplantae; Streptophyta; Magnoliopsida; Solanales; Solanaceae. The record is from RNAcentral.